GACGAACGCUGGCGGCGUGCUUAACACAUGCAAGUCGAACGGAAAGGCCCUGCUUUUGUUGGGUGCUCGAGUGGCGAACGGGUGAGUAACACGUGAGUAACCUGCCCUUGACCUUGGGAUAACUUCAGGAAACUGGGGCUAAUACCGGAUAGGAGCUCCUGCUGCAUGGUGGGGGUUGGAAAGUUUCGGCGGCUGGGGUUGGACUCGCGGCUUAUCAGCUUGUUGGUGGGGUAGUGGCUUACCAACGCUUUGACGGGUAGCCGGCCUGAGAGGGUGACAGGCCACAGUGGGACUGAGAUACGGCCCAGACUGCUACGGGAGGAAGCAGUGGAAAAUAGUGCACAAUGGGCGGAAGCCGGAAGCAGCAACGCCGCGUGCGAGAUGACGGCCGUCAGGUUGUAAACCGCUUGCGCCUGUGACGAAGCGAGAGUGACGGUAAUGGGUAAAGAAGCAACGGCUAACUACGUG
Molecule: ribosomal RNA, 468 nt
Filed under: uncultured bacterium
Lineage: Bacteria
Description: partial 16S ribosomal RNA
Rfam family: Bacterial small subunit ribosomal RNA
Source: RNAcentral